RNAcentral lists this unclassified non-coding RNA (328 nucleotides) under soil metagenome. RNAcentral describes it as "partial contains 5.8S ribosomal RNA, internal transcribed spacer 2, and large subunit ribosomal RNA". The stretch from base 1 to 120 matches the Rfam family "5.8S ribosomal RNA", at positions 35 to 154 of the family's 154-position model. The record is from RNAcentral.
GAUGAAGAACGCAGUGAAAUGCGAUACGUAAUGUGAAUUGCAGAAUUCAGUGAAUCAUCGAGUCUUUGAACGCACAUUGCGCCCCCUGGUAUUCCGGGGGGCAUGCCUGUUCGAGCGUCAUUUCAACCCUCAAGCUCUGCUUGGUAUUGAGUCCAUGUCAGCAAUGGCAGGCUCCAAAAUCAGUGGCGGCGCCGCUGGGUCCUGAACGUAGUAAUAUCUCUCGUUACAGGUGCUCGGCGUGCUUCUGCCAAAACCCCAAUUUUUCUAUGGUUGACCUCGGAUCAGGUAGGGAUACCCGCUGAACUUAAGCAUAUCAAUAAGCGGAGGA